This 59-nucleotide transfer RNA is filed under the name Lachancea thermotolerans. RNAcentral's name for it is "partial transfer RNA". Lineage: Eukaryota; Fungi; Ascomycota; Saccharomycetes; Saccharomycetales; Saccharomycetaceae. The record is from RNAcentral.
AGUGGUUUAGUGGUAAAAUCCAUCGUUGCUCAUCGAUGGKCCCCCGGUUCGAUUCCGGG